This 514-nucleotide ribosomal RNA is filed under the name uncultured bacterium. RNAcentral describes it as "bacterial SSU rRNA". It matches the Rfam family "Bacterial small subunit ribosomal RNA", at positions 15 to 518 of the family's 1533-position model. The record is from RNAcentral.
GAUCAUGGCUCAGAACGAACGCUGGCGGCGCGUUUUAAGCAUGCAAGUCGAGCGGCAAGGGCCUUCGGGCCCCUAGAGCGGCGGACGGGUGAGUAACACGUGGACAAUCUGCCCCCCGGCCCGGGAUAGCCCAGGGAAACCUGGAUUAAUACCGGAUGAGACGGGACCCGCGAUGGCGGGACCCGGGAAAGGCGCUGCGGCGCCGCCGGGGGAUGAGUCUGCGUCCCAUUAGCUAGACGGCGGGGUAACGGCCCACCGUGGCGACGAUGGGUAGCCGGCCUGAGAGGGUGGACGGCCACAUUGGAACUGAGACACGGUCCAGACUCCUACGGGAGGCAGCAGCUAAGAAUCUUCCGCAAUGGGCGAAAGCCUGACGGAAGCGACGCCGCGUGAACGAAGAAGGCCGUGAGGUUGUAAGGUUCUUUUCGGGAGGGGGAACAACCGUGGCAGGGAAUGGCCGCGGGAUGACGUGAAUCCCGGAAUAAGCCCCGGCUAACUACGUGCCAGCCGCGGC